GACGAACGCUGGCGGCGUGCUUAACACAUGCAAGUCGAACGGAAAGGCCCUGCUUUUGUGGGGUGCUCGAGUGGCGAACGGGUGAGUAGCACGUGAGUAACCUGCCCUCGACUUUGGGAUAACUUCAGGAAACUGGGGCUAAUACCGGAUAGGAGCUCCUGCUGCAUGGUGGGGGUUGGAAAGUUUCGGCGGUUGGGGAUGGACUCGCGGCUUAUCAGCUUGUUGGUGGGGUAGUGGCUUACCAAGGCUUUGACGGGUAGCCGGCCUGAGAGGGUGACCGGCCACAUUGGGACUGGGAGACGGCCCAGACUCCUACGGGAGGCAGCGGUGGGGAAUAUUGCGCAAUGGGCGGAAGCCUGAUGCAGCGACGCCGCGUGCGGGAUGCCGGCCUUCGGGUUGUAAACCGCUUUCGCCUGUGACGAAGCGUGAGUGACGGUAAUGGGUAAAGAAGCACCGGCUAACUACGUG
RNAcentral lists this ribosomal RNA (468 nucleotides) under uncultured bacterium. RNAcentral describes it as "partial 16S ribosomal RNA". It matches the Rfam family "Bacterial small subunit ribosomal RNA", at positions 28 to 507 of the family's 1533-position model. The record is from RNAcentral.